Molecule: ribosomal RNA, 503 nt
Filed under: uncultured bacterium
Lineage: Bacteria
Description: partial 16S ribosomal RNA
Rfam family: Bacterial small subunit ribosomal RNA
Source: RNAcentral
AUUGAACGCUGGCGGCAGGCUUAACACAUGCAAGUCGAGCGGGGUGAUGGUGCUUGCACUAUCACUUAGCGGCGGACGGGUGAGUAAUGCUUAGGAAUCUGCCUAUUAGUGGGGGACAACAUCUCGAAAGGGAUGCUAAUACCGCAUACGUCCUACGGGAGAAAGCAGGGGAUCACUUGUGACCUUGCGCUAAUAGAUGAGCCUAAGUCGGAUUAGCUAGUUGGUGGGGUAAAGGCCUACCAAGGCGACGAUCUGUAGCGGGUCUGAGAGGAUGAUCCGCCACGCUGGGACGAAGACACGGCCCAGACUCCUACGGGAGGCAGCAGUGGGGAAUAUUGGACAAUGGGGGGAACCCUGAUCCAGCCAUGCCGCGUGUGUGAAGAAGGCCUUAUGGUUGUAAAGCACUUUAAGCGAGGAGGAGGCUCUUUUGGUUAAUACCUAAGAUGAGUGGACGUUACUCGCAGAAUAAGCACCGGCUAACUCUGUGCCAGCCGCCGCCGUAA